This 1497-nucleotide ribosomal RNA is filed under the name Escherichia coli. RNAcentral describes it as "partial 23S ribosomal RNA". It matches the Rfam family "Bacterial large subunit ribosomal RNA", at positions 1 to 1543 of the family's 2925-position model. The record is from RNAcentral. Lineage: Bacteria; Pseudomonadati; Pseudomonadota; Gammaproteobacteria; Enterobacterales; Enterobacteriaceae.
GGUUAAGCGACUAAGCGUACACGGUGGAUGCCCUGGCAGUCAGAGGCGAUGAAGGACGUGCUAAUCUGCGAUAAGCGUCGGUGAGGUGAUAUGAACCGUUAUAACCGGCGAUUUCCGAAUGGGGAAACCCAGUGUGUUUCGACACACUAUCAUUAACUGAAUCCAUAGGUUAAUGAGGCGAACCGGGGGAACUGAAACAUCUAAGUACCCCGAGGAAAAGAAAUCAACCGAGAUUCCCCCAGUAGCGGCGAGCGAACGGGGAGGAGCCCAGAGCCUGAAUCAGUGUGUGUGUUAGUGGAAGCGUCUGGAAAGGCGUGCGAUACAGGGUGACAGCCCCGUACACAAAAAUGCACAUAUUGUGAGCUCGAUGAGUAGGGCGGGACACGUGGUAUCCUGUCUGAAUAUGGGGGGACCAUCCUCCAAGGCUAAAUACUCCUGACUGACCGAUAGUGAACCAGUACCGUGAGGGAAAGGCGAAAAGAACCCCGGCGAGGGGAGUGAAAAAGAACCUGAAACCGUGUACGUACAAGCAGUGGGAGCCUCUUAAUGGGGUGACUGCGUACCUUUUGUAUAAUGGGUCAGCGACUUAUAUUCUGUAGCAAGGUUAACCGAAUAGGGGAGCCGAAGGGAAACCGAGUCUUAACUGGGCGUUAAGUUGCAGGGUAUAGACCCGAAACCCGGUGAUCUAGCCAUGGGCAGGUUGAAGGUUGGGUAACACUAACUGGAGGACCGAACCGACUAAUGUUGAAAAAUUAGCGGAUGACUUGUGGCUGGGGGUGAAAGGCCAAUCAAACCGGGAGAUAGCUGGUUCUCCCCGAAAGCUAUUUAGGUAGCGCCUCGUGAAUUCAUCUCCGGGGGUAGAGCACUGUUUCGGCAAGGGGGUCAUCCCGACUUACCAACCCGAUGCAAACUGCGAAUACCGGAGAAUGUUAUCACGGGAGACACACGGCGGGUGCUAACGUCCGUCGUGAAGAGGGAAACAACCCAGACCGCCAGCUAAGGUCCCAAAGUCAUGGUUAAGUGGGAAACGAUGUGGGAAGGCCCAGACAGCCAGGAUGUUGGCUUAGAAGCAGCCAUCAUUUAAAGAAAGCGUAAUAGCUCACUGGUCGAGUCGGCCUGCGCGGAAGAUGUAACGGGGCUAAACCAUGCACCGAAGCUGCGGCAGCGACACUAUGUGUUGUUGGGUAGGGGAGCGUUCUGUAAGCCUGUGAAGGUGGCCUGUGAGGGUUGCUGGAGGUAUCAGAAGUGCGAAUGCUGACAUAAGUAACGAUAAAGCGGGUGAAAAGCCCGCUCGCCGGAAGACCAAGGGUUCCUGUCCAACGUUAAUCGGGGCAGGGUGAGUCGACCCCUAAGGCGAGGCCGAAAGGCGUAGUCGAUGGGAAACAGGUUAAUAUUCCUGUACUUGGUGUUACUGCGAAGGGGGGACGGAGAAGGCUAUGUUGGCCGGGCGACGGUUGUCCCGGUUUAAGCGUGUAGGCUGGUUUUCCAGGCAAAUCC